UACGGAGGGGGCUAGCGUUGUUCGGAAUUACUGGGCGUAAAGCGCACGUAGGCGGCUUUGUAAGUUAGAGGUGAAAGCCCGGGGCUCAACCCCGGAAUAGCCUUUAAGACUGCAUCGCUUGAACACGGGAGAGGUGAGUGGAAUUCCGAGUGUAGAGGUGAAAUUCGUAGAUAUUCGGAAGAACACCAGUGGCGAAGGCGGCUCACUGGACCGUUGUUGACGCUGAGGCGCGAAAGCGUGGGGAGCAAACAGG
Molecule: ribosomal RNA, 253 nt
Filed under: uncultured bacterium
Lineage: Bacteria
Description: partial 16S ribosomal RNA
Rfam family: Bacterial small subunit ribosomal RNA
Source: RNAcentral